GUGCUCGCGUUGGCAACACAUAGACUAAAACUGGAAAGAGACAGAGAAGCUAGCAUGGCUCCCGCUCAAGGAUGUCUUGCUAAUUUAUGAAGCAUUCCACAUUUUA
RNAcentral lists this small nuclear RNA (106 nucleotides) under Procavia capensis (Cape rock hyrax). The record is from RNAcentral. Lineage: Eukaryota; Metazoa; Chordata; Mammalia; Hyracoidea; Procaviidae.